AACGUAGGAGGCAAGCGUUAUCCGAAUUUACUGGGCGUAAAGCGUGUGCAGGCGGCCUGGCAAGUUGGAUGUGAAAUCUCCCGGCUCAACUGGGAGGGGUCGUUCAAAACUGCUGGGCUCGAGGGCAGGAGAGGGAGGUGGAAUUCCCGGUGUAGUGGUGAAAUGCGUAGAUAUCGGGAGGAACACCUGUGGCGAAAGCGGCCUCCUGGACUGUACCUGACGCUCAGACACGAAAGCUAGGGGAG
This 245-nucleotide ribosomal RNA is filed under the name uncultured bacterium. Its description in RNAcentral is "partial 16S ribosomal RNA". It matches the Rfam family "Bacterial small subunit ribosomal RNA", at positions 524 to 768 of the family's 1533-position model. The record is from RNAcentral.